UGAUUUUGGUCGCCAACGAGUGGCGGACGGGUGAGUAACACGUAGGUAACCUGCCCAGAAGCGGGGGACAACAUUUGGAAACAGAUGCUAAUACCGCAUAACAACGUUGUUCGCAUGAACAACGCUUAAAAGAUGGCUUCUCGCUAUCACUUCUGGAUGGACCUGCGGUGCAUUAGCUUGUUGGUGGGGUAAUGGCCUACCAAGGCGAUGAUGCAUAGCCGAGUUGAGAGACUGAUCGGCCACAAUGGGACUGAAACACGGCCCAUACUCCUACGGGAGGCAGCAGUAGGGAAUCUUCCACAAUGGGCGCAAGCCUGAUGGAGCAACACCGCGUGAGUGAAGAAGGGUUUCGGCUCGUAAAGCUCUGUUGUUAAAGAAGAACACGUAUGAGAGUAACUGUUCAUACGUUGACGGUAUUUAACCAGAAAGUCACGGCUAACUACGUGCCAGCAGCCGCGGUAAUACGUA
Molecule: ribosomal RNA, 468 nt
Filed under: Limosilactobacillus fermentum
Lineage: Bacteria; Bacillati; Bacillota; Bacilli; Lactobacillales; Lactobacillaceae
Description: bacterial SSU rRNA
Rfam family: Bacterial small subunit ribosomal RNA
Source: RNAcentral